This is a non-coding RNA of Schistosoma rodhaini, 45 nucleotides long. NCBI's taxonomy places the organism in Eukaryota, Metazoa, Platyhelminthes, Trematoda, Strigeidida, Schistosomatidae. The record is from Rfam.
AUCCAGCUGACGAGUUCAAAAUGGGACGAAACGGGCAUCCUGGAU